GACGAACGCUGGCGGCGUGCUUAACACAUGCAAGUCGAACGGAAAGGCCCUGCUUUUGUGGGGUGCUCGAGUGGCGAACGGGUGAGUAACACGUGAGUAACCUGCCCUUGACUUUGGGAUAACUUCAGGAAACUGGGGCUAAUACCGGAUAGGAGCUCCUGCUGCAUGGUGGGGGUUGGAAAGUUUCGGCGGUUGGGGAUGGACUCGCGGCUUAUCAGCUUGUUGGUGGGGUAGUGGCUUACCAAGGCUUUGACGGGUAGCCGGCCUGAGAGGGUGACCGGCCACAUUGGGACUGAGAUACGGCCCAGACUCCUACGGGAGGCAGCAGUGGGGAAUAUUGCACAAUGGGCGGAAGCCUGAUGCAGCAACGCCGCGUGCGGGAUGACGGCCUUCGGGUUGUAAACCGCUUUCGCCUGUGACGAAGCGUGAGUGACGGUAAUGGGUAAAGAAGCACCGGCUAACUACGUGCCAGCAGCCGCGGUGAUACGUAGGGUGCGAGCGUUGUCCGGAUUUAUUGGGCGUAAAGGGCUCGUAGGUGGUUGAUCGCGUCGGAAGUGUAAUCUUGGGGCUUAACCCUGAGCGUGCUUUCGAUACGGGUUGACUUGAGGAAGUUAGGGGAGAAUGGAAUUCCUGGUGGAGCGGUGGAAUGCGCAGAUAUCAGGAGGAACACCAGUGGCGAAGGCGGUUCUCUGGGCCUUUCCUGACGCUGAGGAGCGAAAGCGUGGGGAGCGAACAGGCUUAGAUACCCUGGUAGUCCACGCUGUAAACGGUGGGUACUAGGUGUGGGGUCCAUUCCACGGGUUCCGUGCCGUAGCUAACGCUUUAAGUACCCCGCCUGGGGAGUACGGCCGCAAGGCUAAAACUCAAAGGAAUUGACGGGGCCCCGCACAAGCGGCGGAGCAUGCGGAUUAAUUCGAUGCAACGCGUAGAACCUUACCUGGGUUUGACAUGGAUCGGGAGUGCUCAGAGAUGGGUGUGCCUCUUUUGGGGUCGGUUCACAGGUGGUGCAUGGCUGUCGUCAGCUCGUGUCGUGAGAUGUUGGGUUAAGUCCCGCAACGAGCGCAACCCUUGUUCACUGUUGCCAGCACGUUAUGGUGGGGACUCAGUGGAGACCGCCGGGGUCAACUCGGAGGAAGGUGGGGAUGACGUCAAGUCAUCAUGCCCCUUAUGUCCAGGGCUUCACGCAUGCUACAAUGGCUGGUACAGAGAGUGGCGAGCCUGUGAGGGUGAGCGAAUCUCGGAAAGCCGGUCUCAGUUCGGAUUGGGGUCUGCAACUCGACCUCAUGAAGUCGGAGUCGCUAGUAAUCGCAGAUCAGCAACGCUGCGGUGAAUACGUUCCCGGGGCU
This 1346-nucleotide ribosomal RNA is filed under the name uncultured bacterium. RNAcentral describes it as "partial 16S ribosomal RNA". It matches the Rfam family "Bacterial small subunit ribosomal RNA", at positions 28 to 1381 of the family's 1533-position model. The record is from RNAcentral.